RNAcentral lists this ribosomal RNA (253 nucleotides) under uncultured bacterium. RNAcentral describes it as "partial 16S ribosomal RNA". It matches the Rfam family "Bacterial small subunit ribosomal RNA", at positions 524 to 776 of the family's 1533-position model. The record is from RNAcentral.
UACGAAGGGGGCUAGCGUUGUUCGGAAUCACUGGGCGUAAAGGGCGCGUAGGCGGCCUGAUAAGUCGGGGGUGAAAGCCUGUGGCUCAACCACAGAAUUGCCUUCGAUACUGUUAGGCUUGAGACCGGAAGAGGCAAGUGGAACUGCGAGUGUAGAGGUGAAAUUCGUAGAUAUUCGCAAGAACACCAGUGGCGAAGGCGGCUUACUGGUCCGGUUCUGACGCUGAGGCGCGAAAGCGUGGGGAGCAAACAGG